Molecule: small nuclear RNA, 107 nt
Filed under: Dasypus novemcinctus (nine-banded armadillo)
Lineage: Eukaryota; Metazoa; Chordata; Mammalia; Cingulata; Dasypodidae
Source: RNAcentral
GUGCUUGCCUCAGCAGCACAUAUACUAAAAUUAGAAUGAUACAGAGAAGAUUAGCAUGGGCCCUGCACAAGGAUGACAUGUAAAUUCAUGAAGUGUUCCAUAUUUAA